AACUAACGCUGGCGGCGUGCCUAACACAUGCAAGUCGAACGAGAAAGUCGGCUUCGGCCGAUGAGUAAAGUGGCGCACGGGUGAGUAACGCGUGGAUAAUCUGCCCUUUAGUUUGGAAUAACGUACCGAAAGGUGCGCUAAUACCGGAUAAUACUGAGUGACUACUGUUGUUUAGUCAAAGAAGGCUUCUGUUUACAUGCUUUUGCUGAAGGAUGAGUCCGCGUACCAUUAGCUAGUUGGUAGGGUAAUGGCCUACCAAGGCGACGAUGGUUAGCUGGUCUGAGAGGAUGAUCAGCCACACUGGAACUGAGACACGGUCCAGACUCCUACGGGAGGCAGCAGUGAGGAAUAUUGCGCAAUGGGGGCAACCCUGACGCAGCAACGCCGCGUGAGUGAGGAAGGUUUUCGGACCGUAAAGCUCUGUCGAGCGGGAAGAAAUGCAUGGUGGCUAAUAUCCAUCAUGCUUGACGGUACCGCUAAAGGAAGCACCAGCU
RNAcentral lists this ribosomal RNA (494 nucleotides) under uncultured bacterium. RNAcentral describes it as "bacterial SSU rRNA". It matches the Rfam family "Bacterial small subunit ribosomal RNA", at positions 29 to 498 of the family's 1533-position model. The record is from RNAcentral.